This 242-nucleotide long non-coding RNA is filed under the name Setaria italica (foxtail millet). RNAcentral describes it as "long non-coding RNA (SITA_LNC001215)". Lineage: Eukaryota; Viridiplantae; Streptophyta; Magnoliopsida; Poales; Poaceae. The record is from RNAcentral.
GAAGGCGUUGCCCACAAGCGUCCUUGGCGCAGCGUGGUGGCCGCAAGCUCCGGCAUGGAUAUCCUGGAUCAGCGCCUUUCCCUGUUCGAUCGGGAUGCAGCGCUGUAGGAUCCCCGUGUGACUUCGCUUGUAGAGCUCACGGUUGAUGACGGCGAAGGAUUUUGCACGGCGCGCGAUCCUGCGGGCUUCGAUUUUGUCUGCCGGGAGCGUGUCGUAGACAAGAUAGUCAAGGUACGGGUUUC